UAAUAAUUAAUGUGCAAUAAUAACAGUGUGCAAUACACAUACACUUAUUCUUCUUUUUUAUACUAAGUUAAUAUACUGUGUUGUGUUGUUUGUUACGUUGUGAUGUGUCAUAUCGUGUCGUGUUGUGUUAUAUGUAGUGCCGACGUAGGACAGUUUUUCCAAUUUCAUUGUACUACUGUACUAUGUAUGACUGUGCAAUGACAAUAAAGAGUUAUCUUAUCUUAUCUUAAAACAACCAGACUGAUUGGUCAGAAGUGCUCGACAGGAUCACUUCCUGAACUGGCUGAUGUCCUUGCUACUGUACUGUGUUUUGAAUAAAUGCCACUUUCACUGACCUGUUGCUCUUUUUGCUGACAUUCUACUUUGGUUCUUGUGUCCACACAUCCUCUGGAGGAAGCUUGUGUCGUGCUUUUUCGCAGACUCGCAUUAUUUUGCUCGUGGCCGUAGGCAAAGGUGUGAUGCUGACUGCCAUACAAAUCUACAGUUCUGCCUUCAUACUCUGUCUUUACCACAGGGUACGGUUCUACUCUACUCUACUAUGUGAAGGCCUUGAAAUACUACAUCUCCUUCACAGGUGCAGCAACCUUCUGAGUGGGCUCUACCUGCUUCCAGCUGAUGGCUGAAUGAUGCAGCAGUCCUCCACCCAGCCUGCAGACAGACAUUAUUGCCUACAUGCUGUAGUUGUUUACUGUCACCAAGAGAAACGUGCCCCCUGCAGUCUCCCGUGUGAGCUUCUCCUGCUGUUUGAAGCCAUCUGCCCGUCUCUCCGCUGUUUCACAGAAGGCUCAUCUAACCUGUAGAGACGUCCGUCAGGUUCAUGCUGCCCCAGUGGAGCCAACGUGCUUGCUGCAAGAAGCAUGCGAUGUCACAGGAGGCACACCUUCACUCCGCAUUAUGUUUUUGUUUGACAAAAACCCACCGGUGUUGGAUUCGAUCAUUAUCCAGUCAGACAUCCCUGCCGUGGAUUAGCUCAGACAUAAACAAAGCAAAUAAACUUUCAUGGCCUGAUGUUGUGACAUCACUCACAAGGAGACACUUAAAGGUCUUAAUUUCUAAUCUAAAAGCAAAGUUUUGUUUUAGCAUCUCUGUAAAUCUGCAGACAUGGAGGGGGGCGACGAGUCAAUAAAUAUGCAAACGAGUCCAAAGCUCUGUGUUGGACAGCAUCACGGCACAGAUUUGAAACUCCUGACUGAUGCAGUGAGUGAAGGUCAGGUUGAUCUUUGUGUGGCUGCAAAGCCAACAAACCAUGCAUGUAACUUUCUAACUGCAGCACGUAAAAGGUCCAGUGCAUAAGAGCAAUUCAGACCUCAGCUUUGUAAAUAAGAGACAGAU
Molecule: long non-coding RNA, 1332 nt
Organism: Astatotilapia calliptera (eastern happy)
Lineage: Eukaryota; Metazoa; Chordata; Actinopteri; Cichliformes; Cichlidae
Source: Ensembl